This is a long non-coding RNA of Perca flavescens (yellow perch), 909 nucleotides long. RefSeq lists it as uncharacterized. NCBI's taxonomy places the organism in Eukaryota, Metazoa, Chordata, Actinopteri, Perciformes, Percidae. The transcript has 3 exons. The record is from RefSeq and is a predicted model, not a curated record.
CUCACCUUCCUUAGUCAGGAUCCUCAGCCUUGCGGGAAAAAGAAGGGAUGGCUUAAAUCCAAGAUUGUAGAGCUCUGCCAUUACCCCUCGAUAUUGAGCUCGCUGUUCCAGAACCUCCGGACUGUAGUCAUAAUGGCGAUCGGGUUGCCAUGGUACUGCAAGGAUCCUCUUCUUUUACGGGCCUCGCGUAUCAAAAUUGCAACCUUCCUAUAAAUCCAAAUAUGCACAAGGUGUUUUAAAUAGGCUUGAUAUUAAUUUGUGGACACCAUCACCAGACCUAAUGAGACAACAGAUCUUCUCAAUGGGAACAUCCCAUUUCUUGCACCUGGAGAGGAGGGAAGAUGGACCAGUUAAGGGCAAAAAAAAUGACUGAGCUAAUCCACUCACUGGCUGCAACACUGUGCAACACUGCUCACUAUUCACUGCACAGGAAAUUCCAUAAAGAAGUGACAGUGGGUAUUCUGAACACUAAGUUGAGAAGCACUUGGCCCCGAGCUUUCGGACUGGACAGACCAUCAUUCAUCAGUCUCUCGCCACUGUCCUGCAAACCAAACCAUUCGAGGGGGAGCAGGGAGUAUAAGUGACUUCUCUGUCUUAAAAUGCAGCAACAUCAUACAUUUACUCUGGGCUUAUGCACAAAGAUGCACUUAAACUGAGAAAUGUAUUUAAAAUCAAGGGAUCCUGUGAGUUCUACGUGAUAAUUGUUUAAGUUUUAAGGCACACCUGUGUUCCCAUUUUGGAUUAAACUGUCAUUCUGUUUUUUUUUUUACGUCUGUAAUAAGGUCACACUAGAACAAUGAUCAAAGCAGUUUACAAUAAAACUUUAAGUUUUACACAAGCUGUGCUUGACUGUUAAGAUCAGUAUUACUGUAAUAGAGGCUACUGUUAUAUAAAUAAUGUGAAGCAGGA